Long non-coding RNA from Onychomys torridus (southern grasshopper mouse), 464 nucleotides. RefSeq lists it as uncharacterized. Lineage: Eukaryota; Metazoa; Chordata; Mammalia; Rodentia; Cricetidae. The record is from RefSeq and is a predicted model, not a curated record. The transcript is spliced from 3 exons.
CAGAGGGCUAAGAAAGAGUCCCCUGAGCCUCUGAGGGUAUCAGUGCUCCUCUGGGGCACUUUCUGCAUGGGUGAUUAGAAACUGCAAACUUCUUUGGUCCUCGGUUAGUGGCAGUAAGUAGAGCAGACAUGGCUCCUUCAUCUAUUUAAUCUGGAAUGGAAGCACCACCAGGGCAGGAACCAUGCCCCCUUCAUCACCUCGGAUCCUCCAGCCCUCCAUAAAUAUUUGUUCUGCUCUGGCUAACUGAGGUGUAUCAGCACAGGAUGUGGUUUUCAUCCUUAUAACCUCACCAUGGAGAGGCUUGGGGCUGCUUUCAGGUCCAGAACACCCAUUGUGGUCACCUGUUGUUGGCUUGACCCUGUAUCCUAGCAGUCACCUCUGGUGGAUACCUCACAACAACUGAAUGCUGCAUUGGCAGAGGAUGUUGCUGUGGAUAUCGCUGUGUAAAUAAAGUUCUGAUUGGC